This is a non-coding RNA of Cherax quadricarinatus, 310 nucleotides long. The record is from RefSeq and is a predicted model, not a curated record. Lineage: Eukaryota; Metazoa; Arthropoda; Malacostraca; Decapoda; Parastacidae.
UGUAAUUUAUUUGAUAUCCAACAGACCAAAUACAUCAUGUACGUGUUAAACAUGGCACUGCUGUUGCUGUCACCACUAAAACAAACACAAAGAAGACAGAAGGAUUUUCAUGUUCAUCAUGUGAGAAAAAGUUUUCCUCUGUAUUAAAACUUCAAAUGCAUGAGAUCAAGCAUACUGUUACUAAGCCUCCUUACCAAUGCCAGGAAUGUUCUCAAAGUUUCCCAACACUGAGUACUCUAAAACGGCACUACCUAAUUCACUGGGACCUGAGACCAUUCUCUUGCUUCACAUGCAGCAAGAGCUUUAGGUA